Small nucleolar RNA from Apteryx haastii (Great spotted kiwi), 133 nucleotides. Its record names the gene SNORA71. It matches the Rfam family "Small nucleolar RNA SNORA71". From Rfam's summary of the family: The members of this family belong to the H/ACA class of snoRNAs which bind a number of proteins (including dyskerin, Gar1p and Nop10p) to form snoRNP complexes. The record is from Ensembl. NCBI's taxonomy places the organism in Eukaryota, Metazoa, Chordata, Aves, Apterygiformes, Apterygidae.
ACCUGCAUUCGAAAGUGAUUCUGGUCUUGUCUGUGACCUGGUCAUUGAUAGUGCAGGGAGAAGAAUUUCGAAAGCUUUUCCCGUGUUUGGUGGGCUCAUUCCCAUCCCUACCAGACCCUGUUACUUUCGUACA